UUAUUCCAAUAAUUACAUAUAUCUAGUUCGACUCCCAUCUUCGAAUCAAUUAUUAAUCCAUUUUUCAGGAAUCCCAUUUUUUGUAAAUUAUUUUGUCCCUUCCACUUUCUCUAUCAUUAUUCCACCCGAGUACAAUAUGAAUGAGCAAAUUAAUUAGGGCAAAUUGUUGCAUAUGCAUAGAAAUAUCAUUAGUUGAUUGAUCUAAAUUCAUAUUGAAUAAAAUCAACUGAAAGUAGAAUAGUUUCUCGUGUUUUUUAUUUAAUUGCACGUGGUAAACAUAAAUCUUAUUCCAAUUUUGAUUUGAAUAACAAGAUUGGUUGACCAAUAUAAAGCAAAUAUUCAUUGGAAGGUAUGUUAGAAAGUGGACAAUAAGGGAAUUUUAGGAAAGAGCCCCUUUUUUUGUUCCUAUUACUUUCUAUUUUCUAUCAUAUAUAGCGUCAUUGUAUAUUUCUAUUCCUUAAGUCAAUUAUCUUAAGCCACACAUACAUUGCUUUGCAUUGAGCUAAAAAAAUAAAAAAAAGGACUAUUCCAAAAAUUAGAAUACCAAAUAAUGGUGGCC
RNAcentral lists this long non-coding RNA (559 nucleotides) under Olea europaea subsp. europaea. Lineage: Eukaryota; Viridiplantae; Streptophyta; Magnoliopsida; Lamiales; Oleaceae. The record is from RNAcentral.